RNA transcript from Vidua chalybeata, 3370 nucleotides. It is a transcript of the gene named KIAA2013 ortholog, with no coding region annotated. The transcript is spliced from 3 exons. The record is from RefSeq and is a predicted model, not a curated record. NCBI's taxonomy places the organism in Eukaryota, Metazoa, Chordata, Aves, Passeriformes, Viduidae.
GCUUAGGGCUGGUGCGGCGGGGCCGGGGCCGGGAAGGGCCGGGCCGGGGCUCCCCCGCCGCCGCCCAUGUGGCUGCAGCAGCGGCUGAAGGGGCUGCCGGGGCUGCUGUCCAGCAGCUGGGCGCGGCGCCUGCUACUGCUGCUGGUGCUGCUGCUCGUCGCCUACUGGUACCUGGGCGCGGCGCGGGCGCGGGGCGCGGGGCGCGGGGCCGAGCCCCGGGGACCCGCCGCCCUCUGCGUUCAGGCGGCCGCGGGCGCCUGGCGGGCGCAGACCCAGCGCGGCGAUGCGCUGCCGCUGCCUGAGGAGGCGGCCGGGGCCGGCGGGCCCCCGGGGCUGGCGGUGGCGGGCAACGGGUUCCUGCUGCUGGACGUGUCCGCCGGGCGCCUCUGGGUGCGGCCCGCGGGGGCCGCCGCGGGCCCGGCGCUCGCCACCGAGUAUCCGGCGCUGGUGCGGCUGAGGGCGCUGGGCGGGCGCGGCGAGGCGCGGGCGGCGCUGGCGGCGCUGCGGGACGGGGCCGUGCGGAGGGUGCGCUGCGUCCAGAUGGGGCCCGGGGCCGGCGCCGGGGACUGCGUGACGCUGCGGGAGGAGGUGGUGGCCCACCGGAGCCGGCCGCAUCUCUACCUGCAGCGCAUCCGCAUCGCCAACCCCACCGAGCGCGUGGCCGCCUUCGAGGCCUCGGCUCCCGCCGCCGCGGCCCCGCUGGGCGGGCGCUUCGCCACCAGCCUGGAGAAGGUGGAGGAGCGGCAGUUCCUGCUCUCCUCCGGCCGCCUGCUGCUGGCCGGCAGCCCCAAGGUGGUGCUGGUGGUGGUAGCUGCCAAGAAACUGGUGAGCCGGGUGCAGGUCGCGCCCAAGUCGCACUUUGACGAGACCGUGCUGUCCGUGGUGUACACCUCGGAGCCCAUCGAGGUGUCCAGGCUGGAGGAGACCUUCAGCAAGCUGAGGGAGGCAGCCAAGAAAGAGAUGCUGGAGGUGAUGAAGAUGGGGGUGGAAGAUCUUUUCCAGGAGCACCAGCAGACCUGGUCUGACUUGUUCAUUUCAGGGAUUGAAAUGAGAAAGAUCACAGAUGCACAUACCCCAUCCAGUGAGACUGUCAACAUGACCCUCUACUACGUGCUGUCAACUGUGCCAGCCCCGCUGCUGGACCCGCUCAUUGCUGCUGAGGACAGGGAGAAGAUUGAAGCCAGCCUGAACUACGCUGACCACUGCUUCAGCGGCCACGCCACCAUGCACGCCGAGAACCUGUGGCCACCAAAGCUGACCAGCGUCACCCAGAUCCUGCAGCUCUCAGACCUGUGGAAGCUGACUCUCCAAAAACGGGGGUGCAAGGGUCUUGUGACAGCUGGAGUGCACGGACUCAUGCAGGGAAUGGUGCUUAGUUUUGGGGGUCUGCAGUUCACAGAAAACCAUCUUCAGUUUCAGGCUGACCCUGACGUACUUCAUAACAGCUAUUCCUUACGUGGGAUCCAUUACAAUAAGGACUUGAUCAGUUUAGCUGUUCUCCUGGAUGCUGAAGGAAAGCCCUUCUUGCAUGUGUCUGUGAAAUUCCAGGACAAGCCUGUCAGACUGUAUGCGUGUGAGGCAGGCUGUAUGAACGAGCCUGUGGAGCUGACCUCAGAGGCACGAGGUCACACGUUCCCCGUCAUGGUGACUCAACCCAUCACACCACUGCUUUAUAUAUCAACAGAUUUGGUCCACUUGCAGGACCUGAGACACACACUCCACCUAAAAGCUAUUCUGGCUCAUGAGGAACACAUGGCCAAGCAAUACCCAGGCUUACCCUUCCUGUUCUGGUUCAGUGUGGCCUCCUUAAUUACUUUGUUUCAUUUGUUUCUGUUCAAACUCAUCUACAACGAGUAUUGUGGGCCAGGAGCCAAGCCCCUCUUCAGGAGUAAGGUAUAAGGCUGCUGCUUUUGGCUGCUGUCCACUGAGUGUUGUCAGCCUGAUGUUGUGUCAGCGGUGCCUGGGCAGGCUGUCUCUUAGACUGUGAGAAUUUUCAGUCUCUCUUGAAACAAGUGAUCUGUGACCUCUUCUUGCAAGAAGGAGGAUUAGGGCAGGGAUUGGAGCAGUAGGGCUCACAAAAGAUAAACUUAUUGUCUGUCCCUAGACAUUUGUGAGGCUGCAGGUGGAGGCAGACACAGCUUUUUGUCCUUUUUUCACACAUCAGUGUAGGACAUUGCUUGUUUCUAGGCCAGCAGUUGCAGUUGUCAUGAGAUGAUGCUUCUUGUUUUUCAGUACCAGAAAGCAUGUGAGAGAGCUGCUGUACUUGUCUGAACUGCUGUGUGGAGACCUGCACACCUGCCUGCCUGCUCUGAACGUGUGACGUGUCACACAGGAGCACCCCGAGGCAGGCUGCUGUUCUGAGGUGGCUGUCCCCGACUGUGCCCGCUGAAGUGCCCAGAGGCUUCACAGCCACAGCGCAGGGCUGACCUAGCACCUCAUCCUUCUGGGCACUGCCGAGCCAACAACUCUGCUGCCUUGUCUUAGUUGGACCUACUUCAAAUGAAGGUGAUGCAGAACUUGAUUCCAGAAACAGGGAAGAAGUGGAAUCCUGCUGAAGCUCAGAAUCUGUAGCAGUAAGCAAGAUAGAUGGUCUUGAAAUAACACCGUGUUCCAUUAAUUGAAUGGGAACAUCCCCGUGUCCAAGUGAACUUAGUCCUGCUUUCAGCCUCCAUUUGCACAAGACACCUGGCAAUAUUGCAGCUGAGAACAAGGAACAUUUGAAAGCAACAAUCCUUUUGUGCCUUGCUAUUACAGGAAUCUGAGACUUGGAAGGUGUGGUGACUCAAUUGUUUAUCCCAGAAGCUUGUGUAACAGAUGUUUCCUUUCCCUGUAAGCUGUUCAGUUCCCUAGGAGUAACCCAUUUGGUGAAAGUACUUGAAGAUAUACUAAGACCUUUGAUAUUUUGAUCAGGUGUUUUUUUUUGGUUUGGUUUUGUUUUGUUUUUUUUUUUAAUUCUACAGAAAAAUAAAGGAUGAUGAUUCCCUUCUGAGAGUUAACUAGAAAACUUUAGUGUAACUUCCUUUCUGGUAUACAGUAAUUUAUUGCUUGGGGAGAGGGGGGCUAUGUUAAUUUUUCCUCCACUUCAGUAACAGUCAAUAUCUAGCAAUCUUAAUUGUUGAUAAGUUCUCGUAACAGGUUUUUCAGCCUUUAUGACUGUAGAGUGCAAAAUCAAUUUAAUGAACUUGUUUUCUGGAUAUGCACUUGGAAAUGCUGAUCUACACGUUUCCUAUUCUAAGCCUAUUGAGACUUUGUGCAUUGAUUUGUUUUGGCUAUGGGGGAAGACAUCCCACUUUCUAGUGACUUACAGGUUGUUUGGGUUUAAAAUACCAAAGCUGUUGUUUCUAAAUAAAUAUCUUUCAGUCUAAUCUGA